GCACUCCCCUAUCCACUAAACAGCAACUUCAAUGUUGAAAGAUUUUAAAAUCUUUCAACAUUGAAGUUGCUGUUUAGUGGAUAGGGGAGUGC
Non-coding RNA from Pelobates cultripes (western spadefoot toad), 92 nucleotides. The record is from the annotation of a GenBank genome assembly. Lineage: Eukaryota; Metazoa; Chordata; Amphibia; Anura; Pelobatidae.